UUUAAACUUGAGAGUUUGAUCAUGGCUCAGAACGUACGCUGGCGGCACGCCUUAUACAUGCAAGUCGAACGAAGUAGCAAUACUUAGUGGCAGACGGGUGAGUAACAUGUAGGUAUCUACCCUUUGGUGAGGAAUAACACGAGGAAACUUGUGCUAAUACCUCAUAAGUCUUUACGGAGAAAGCUUUAUGCGCCGAAGGAUGAGCCUGCACUUGAUUAGUUUGUUGGUGGGGUAAUGGCCUACCAAGACUUUGAUCUAUAGCUGAUCUGAGAGGAUGAUCAGCCACAUUGGGACUGAGACACGGCCCAAACUCCUACGGGAGGCAGCAGUAGGGAAUAUUGCACAAUGGAGGAAACUCUGAUGCAGCGAUGCCGCGUGAGUGAAGAAGGCCUUUGGGUUGUAAAGCUCUUUCGUCGGGGAAGAAAAUGACUGUACCCGAAUAAGAAGGUCCGGCUAACUUCGUGCCAGCAGCCGCGGUAAUACGAAGGGACCUAGCGUAGUUCGGAAUUACUGGGCUUAAAGAGUUCGUAGGUGGUUAAAAAAGUUGGUGGUGAAAUCCCAGAGCUUAACUCUGGAACUGCCAUCAAAACUUUUUAGCUAGAGUAUGAUAGAGGAAAGCAGAAUUUCUAGUGUAGAGGUGAAAUUCGUAGAUAUUAGAAAGAAUACCAAUUGCGAAGGCAGCUUUCUGGAUCAUUACUGACGCUGAGGAACGAAAGCAUGGGUAGCGAAGAGGAUUAGAUACCCUCGUAGUCCAUGCCGUAAACGAUGUGUGUUAGACGUUGGAAAUUUAUUUUCAGUGUCGCAGCGAAAGCGUUAAACACACCGCCUGGGGAGUACGACCGCAAGGUUAAAACUCAAAUGAAUUGACGGGGACCCGCACAAGUAGUGGAGCAUGUGGUUUAAUUCGAAGAUACGCGCAGAACCUUACCAACACUUGACAUGUUCGUCGCGACUCUAAGAGAUUAGAGUUUUCGGUUCGGCCGGACGAAACACAGGUGCUGCAUGGCUGUCGUCAGCUCGUGUCGUGAGAUGUUGGGUUAAGUCCCGCAACGAGCGCAACCCUCACUUUUAGUUGCCAUCAUUUAGUUGGGCACUCUGAAAGAACUGCCAGUGAUAAGCUGGAGGAAGGUGGGGAUGACGUCAAGUCCUCAUGGCCCUUACGUGUUGGGCUACACACGUGCUACAAUGGCAUUUACAAUAGGAAGCAAGGUGGCGACAUCAAGCAAAUCCUAAAAAGAUGCCUCAGUUCGGAUUGUACUCUGCAACUCGAGUACAUGAAGCUGGAAUUACUAGUAAUCGCGGAUCAGCGCGCCGCGGUGAAUACGUUCCCGGGUCUUGUACACACCGCCCGUCACACCAUGGGAGUUGGUUCUACCUUAAGGCAAGGUUUUAAACCCUUGACUACGGUAUAGUCAGCGACUGGGGUGAAGUCGUAACAAGGUAGCCGUAGGGGAACCUGCGGCUGGAUUACCUCCUUUCUA
Molecule: ribosomal RNA, 1481 nt
Filed under: Pelagibacterales bacterium SAG-MED16
Lineage: Bacteria; Pseudomonadati; Pseudomonadota; Alphaproteobacteria; Candidatus Pelagibacterales
Description: bacterial SSU rRNA
Rfam family: Bacterial small subunit ribosomal RNA
Source: RNAcentral